CCCUAUUAUAAUUAAUAUAAGAUAUAAUUUUGAGUAGUAAAUGUUUUGGGCAGGAAACUUAAAGAAUUUGGCGGUGUUUAUUCUAAUUAGAGGAAUAUGUUUUUUAAUUGAUAAUCCACAAUUAUCUUACUUAAAUUUAUUUAUUUUGUAUAUCUCCGUCUUAAAAAGACUUUUUAAAAUAUUCUUUAUAUUUUAUAAUUUAAAAUAAGUCAGGUCAAGGUGCAGAUGAUAUUUAAGUUAAAAUGUAUUACAUUAAAAAUAUUUUUGGAUUAGAACUAAACAACUUUUAUGAAAUUGGAUUUAUAAGUAGAUUUUUUUUAAUAAUAAUUAAUCGAAUUAUGUUAAUAGACAUGCACACAUC
This 361-nucleotide ribosomal RNA is filed under the name Indiopsocus bisignatus. RNAcentral's name for it is "partial 12S ribosomal RNA". Lineage: Eukaryota; Metazoa; Arthropoda; Insecta; Psocodea; Psocidae. The record is from RNAcentral.